Molecule: unclassified non-coding RNA, 148 nt
Organism: Macaca fascicularis (crab-eating macaque)
Lineage: Eukaryota; Metazoa; Chordata; Mammalia; Primates; Cercopithecidae
Rfam family: Metazoan signal recognition particle RNA
About the family: The signal recognition particle (SRP) is a universally conserved ribonucleoprotein. It is involved in the co-translational targeting of proteins to membranes.
Source: Ensembl
GCCAGGUAUGGUGGUGCAUGCCUAUAGUCCCAGCUACUUGGGAGGCUGAGGUAGGAGGAUGGUUUGAGCCCAGGAGGCGGAGGUUGUAGUGAGCUGAGAUGGAGCCACUGCACUCCAGCCUGGGCAACACAGCCAGACCCUGUCUCAA